RNAcentral lists this ribosomal RNA (813 nucleotides) under uncultured Moraxella sp. RNAcentral describes it as "bacterial SSU rRNA". It matches the Rfam family "Bacterial small subunit ribosomal RNA", at positions 52 to 865 of the family's 1533-position model. Lineage: Bacteria; Pseudomonadati; Pseudomonadota; Gammaproteobacteria; Moraxellales; Moraxellaceae. The record is from RNAcentral.
CACAUGCAAGUCGAACGAAGUUAGGAAGCUUGCUUCUGAUACUUAGUGGCGGACGGGUGAGUAAUGCUUAGGAAUCUGCCUAGUAGUGGGGGAUAACUUGGGGAAACCCAAGCUAAUACCGCAUACGACCUACGGGUGAAAGGGGGCGCAAGCUCUCGCUAUUAGAUGAGCCUAAGUCGGAUUGGCUAGUUGGUGGGGUAAAGGCCUACCAAGGCGACGAUCUGUAGCUGGUCUGAGAGGAUGAUCAGCCACACUGGGACUGAGACACGGCCCAGACUCCUACGGGAGGCAGCAGUGGGGAAUAUUGGACAAUGGGCGAAAGCCUGAUCCAGCCAUGCCGCGUGUGUGAAGAAGGCCUUUUGGUUGUAAAGCACUUUAAGUGGGGAGGAAAAGCUUAUGGUUAAUACCCAUAAGCCCUGACGUUACCCACAGAAUAAGCACCGGCUAACUCUGUGCCGGCAGCCGCGGUAAUACAGAGGGUGCAAGCGUUAAUCGGAAUUACUGGGCGUAAAGCGCGCGUAGGUGGUUAUUUAAGUCAGAUGUGAAAGCCCCGGGCUUAACCUGGGAACUGCAUCUGAUACUGGAUAACUAGAGUAGGUGAGAGGGGAGUAGAAUUCCAGGUGUAGCGGUGAAAUGCGUAGAGAUCUGGAGGAAUACCGAUGGCGAAGGCAGCUCCCUGGCAUCAUACUGACACUGAGGUGCGAAAGCGUGGGUAGCAAACAGGAUUAGAUACCCUGGUAGUCCACGCCGUAAACGAUGUCUACCAGUCGUUGGGUCUUUUAAAGACUUAGUGACGCAGUUAACGCAAUAAGU